Long non-coding RNA from Telopea speciosissima, 269 nucleotides. RefSeq lists it as uncharacterized. The transcript is spliced from 2 exons. Lineage: Eukaryota; Viridiplantae; Streptophyta; Magnoliopsida; Proteales; Proteaceae. The record is from RefSeq and is a predicted model, not a curated record.
AAAAGAACAAAUGCAUGAAGGCAAGCAAUCUUGUCAAUGACGUACACUAUCAAAAUUGACAGUUUGUCUUGGGCUCAAUCAUACUAUGGUUACAAUUAAGUUCAUGUUCGGAGGGCUGGAUCAAAUGGUUAACACAAAGGUUUGCAUAGCAUGCUCUUAAUGAUAUCAAGUAAACAGGGAGAUACCACACCGAGUACAUAGAAGAAAAACUCACCAAAUAACAAGCAAUACAAUAAUAGCUAUGAAUCUCAAACAAAAUAAUACACAAA